This 497-nucleotide ribosomal RNA is filed under the name uncultured bacterium. RNAcentral's name for it is "partial 16S ribosomal RNA". It matches the Rfam family "Bacterial small subunit ribosomal RNA", at positions 28 to 507 of the family's 1533-position model. The record is from RNAcentral.
GAUGAACGCUGGCGGCGUGCCUAACACAUGCAAGUCGAGCGAACAGACGAGGCGCUUGCUCCUUUCUCGUUAGCCGCGGACGGGUGUGUCACAUGUGUAACCCCUCCCUGUCUGUCUGGUAUCACUUCGGGACACCGGCUAUAAUCCCGGAUAAUCUAUUGCACCGCAUGGUUCAAUAGUGAAAGUCGGCUUUUCUGUCACUUAUCGAUGCAUCUGCGCUGCAUUAGCUAGUUGGGAAGGUAACGGGUUAUCAAGGCGACGAUGCGUAGCCGAGCGGAGAGGGUGGUCGGCCACACGGGAACUGAGACACGGUCCAGACUCCUACGGGAGGCAGCAGUAGGGAAUCGUCCGCAAUGGGCGAAAACCUGACGGAGCAACGCCGCGUGAGUGAUGAAGGUCUUCGGAUCGUAAAACUCUGUUAUGAGGGAAGAACAAAUGUGUAAGUAACUAUGCACGGCUUGACGGUACCUAAUCAGAAAGCCACGGCUAACUACGUG